Molecule: ribosomal RNA, 445 nt
Filed under: uncultured bacterium
Lineage: Bacteria
Description: SSU rRNA
Rfam family: Bacterial small subunit ribosomal RNA
Source: RNAcentral
AGAGCGAACGCUGGCGGCAGGCCUAACACAUGCAAGUCGAGCGCCCGUAGCAAUACGGGAGCGGCAGACGGGAUAGUAACACGUGGGAACGCGCCCUUCGGUUCGGAAUAACUCAGGGAAACUUGAGCUAAUACCGGAUACGCCCUUACGGGGAAAGAUUUAUUGCCGAAGGAACGGCCCGCGUCCGAUUAGCUAGUUGGUGAGGUAAUGGCUCACCAAGGCGACGAUCGGUAGCUGGUCUGAGAGGAUGACCAGCAUCACUGGGACUGAGACACGGCCCAGACUCCUACGGGAGGCAGCAGUGGGGAAUAUGGACAAUGGGCGCAAGCCUGAUCCAGCCAUGCCGCGUGGAUGAUGAAGGCCUUAGGGUUGUAAAGUCCUUUUAACGGGGAGAUAAUGACGGUACCGUAGAAUAAGCCCCGGCUAACUUCGUGCCAGCAGCCGC